RNAcentral lists this unclassified non-coding RNA (243 nucleotides) under Hevea brasiliensis (rubber tree). Lineage: Eukaryota; Viridiplantae; Streptophyta; Magnoliopsida; Malpighiales; Euphorbiaceae. The record is from RNAcentral.
CGGGCAUACAAAAUCUCCCCUUUAGUUCCUCCAAGUGGGGCCAUCGUGGCCCUUAUUCUUGAAAUAAUAGGUAGGAAAUCUUGGCUAAAGAUAAAGCAUCCGCAGCCUUUUCUACUUCUGCAUAUGCUUCCUCCAAAUGGAUCCUCUUGACACGGCCUUUCCACAACAACUCCAUAUCUUCAAAGAAAUCAUUUGGGAUGAUAGGAUAGGAACUAAUCUUUUGAUCAUUUUCACCAUGUACGG